RNAcentral lists this ribosomal RNA (699 nucleotides) under uncultured bacterium. RNAcentral's name for it is "bacterial SSU rRNA". It matches the Rfam family "Bacterial small subunit ribosomal RNA", at positions 1 to 687 of the family's 1533-position model. The record is from RNAcentral.
AGGAGUUUGGAUCCUGGCUCAGAAUCAACGCUGGCGGCGUGCCUAACACAUGCAAGUCGAGCGCGAAAGUGGACUUCGGUCCGCGAGUAGAGCGGCGAACGGGUGAGUAACGCGUGGGUGAUCUGCCUUCGAGUGGGGAAUAACACCGGGAAACUGGUGCUAAUACCGCAUGACAUCCUCGGUUCGUUCCGGGGAUCAAAGCUGGGGACCGUAAGGCCUGGCGCUUGAAGAGGAGCCCGCGUCCGAUUAGCUUGUUGGCGGGGUAAUGGCCCACCAGGGCUUCUAUCGGUAGCCGGCCUGAGAGGGCGGACGGCCACACUGGGACUGAGACACGGCCCAGACUCCUACGGGAGGCAGCAGUGGGGAAUUUUCCGCAAUGGGGGAAACCCUGACGGAGCAACGCCGCGUGGAGGAUGAAGGCCCUCGGGUCGUAAACUCCUGUCGAUCGGGAAGAAUGCGUCCGACCCAAUACGUCGGGCGUUGACUGUACCGGUGGAGGAAGCCACGGCUAACUCUGUGCCAGCAGCCGCGGUAAGACAGAGGUGGCAAGCGUUGUUCGGAAUUACUGGGCGUAAAGGGCGCGCAGGCGGUUCGCCAAGUCCCGUGUGAAAUCCCCCGGCUCAACUGGGGAACUGCGCGGGAAACUAGUGAACUUGAGUUCGGGAGAGGAAAGCGGAAUUCCGGGUGUAGCGGUGAAAU